Molecule: ribosomal RNA, 342 nt
Filed under: uncultured soil bacterium
Lineage: Bacteria
Description: bacterial SSU rRNA
Rfam family: Bacterial small subunit ribosomal RNA
Source: RNAcentral
AGAACGAACGCUGGCGGCAUGCCUAAUACAUGCAAGUCGAACGAACUCUUCGGAGUUAGUGACGCACGGGUGCGUAACGCGUGGGAAUCUGCCCCUUGGUUCGGAAUAACAGUUGGAAACGACUGCUAAUACCGGAUGAUGACGAAAGUCCAAAGAUUUAUCGCCAAGGGAUGAGCCCGCGUAGGGAUUAGCUAGUUGGUGAGGUAAAGGCUCACCAAGGCAACGAUCCUUAGCUGGUCUGAGAGGAUGAUCAGCCACACUGGGACUGAGACACGGCCCAGACUCCUACGGGAGCAGCAGUAGGGAAUAUUGGACAAUGGGCGAAAGCCUGAUCCAGCAAUG